UGAAUACAGGAAUGGCUCUCU
Molecule: microRNA, 21 nt
Filed under: Gossypium raimondii (Peruvian cotton)
Lineage: Eukaryota; Viridiplantae; Streptophyta; Magnoliopsida; Malvales; Malvaceae
Description: gra-miR8638
Source: miRBase by way of RNAcentral